RNAcentral lists this ribosomal RNA (324 nucleotides) under Actinomycetota bacterium. Its description in RNAcentral is "bacterial SSU rRNA". It matches the Rfam family "Bacterial small subunit ribosomal RNA", at positions 1 to 328 of the family's 1533-position model. The record is from RNAcentral. Lineage: Bacteria; Bacillati; Actinomycetota.
UCUACGGAGAGUUUGAUCCUGGCUCAGGACGAACGCUGGCGGCGUGCUUAACACAUGCAAGUCGAACGGUGAAGCCCCUUCGGGGGCGGAUCAGUGGCGAACGGGUGAGUAACACGUGGGCAACCUGCCCCUAGCUCUGGGAUAACCCCGGGAAACCGGGGCUAAUACCGGAUAUGACCUCGGAGGACAUCCUCUGCGGUGGAAAGUUUUUCGGCUAGGGAUGGGCCCGCGGCCUAUCAGCUUGUUGGUGAGGUAACGGCCCACCAAGGCGACGACGGGUAGCCGGCCUGAGAGGGCGACCGGCCACACUGGGACUGAGACACG